ACUGACGAACAGCUGUUCUGGGGUCACUCUGUUCAGGAGUCCUGCCUGGGUCAGUGUCCCCAGUACUGAGGCUGUGUAGAGACGCAGGCCAGGCCUGUAGGUCUUAAAUCCAUACCAUGUCCUUUUCCCUCCCCCACGUCUCUGGUCAUUCCCCAGUCUCCAGGUCCCUCCAGCCUCCACACCUCUCACCAUUACACUGAGCCAGGAGAAGGUGGAUCCCAGCAUCGCGACAUCGGCUGGCCAGCUGCGGAGAAGGAGAGGGGGGUCAAAUCCUACGUCAGAGGCAACAUCUGCAAAGGUGAGACCACUGCAGUCUAAGACCACCACCCUGACGGGCUCGGCAACUAGGAUGGGAGAAGGCAGGAGUGGCCGGACGCCCCCAGGGCACGUGCCCAGGCUCCUCGCCAUCCCAUCUCACCUGCAUCGGGUGGGCCAUCCGUCUUUGGAGCCUCCUGUGAGUAGAGAAGGGCAGUCACCACCUCCAAGACACCAGCAUGAACGUGUGCCCCGUAAGCAGUGAUCUCCUUCAGAAGAGCCACCUGCCUCCCUCUCCCGGAGAAGCCACCCUCCCCUCGGACCAGAUAAUAGAAGAAGGGCCCCAGCCACAGCAGCACUGAGAGGACAACUAUGCAGGAGAAGAGGCCUGCCAGCUAGAAAGGAGGAGGGAUGGAAGCCGAGAAGCAAAGGGAUCUCAUGCACCACUGUGAGGGAGCUGGCCGCCCUGUCCACUUUACCUUGCCUUCCCUGGAACUCUCCCUCCUUCCGAAUCCCUGUCCAUGAAGAUAUUCCUCAGUCUUCCACUCUCUUCUUGCUAGUUUGCAUCUCACAUCUACUUUUCCCCUCUCCCAAUUAAAUGCCUCUCAUUUGCCGGUCUCUACGUAGAUGUAGUUCAAUUUCCCUAUUUUUGAAGCCCAUGUC
This is a long non-coding RNA of Mustela lutreola (European mink), 918 nucleotides long. RefSeq lists it as uncharacterized. The transcript has 3 exons. Lineage: Eukaryota; Metazoa; Chordata; Mammalia; Carnivora; Mustelidae. The record is from RefSeq and is a predicted model, not a curated record.